GAUGAACGCUGGCGGCGUGCCUAAUACAUGCAAGUCGAACGCAGUGGGGACGGGUGAGUAACACGUGGGUAACCUCCCAUCAGAGGGGAUAACACUUGGAAACAGGUGCUAAACCGAUACUGAUGGAUGGACCCGGGGGGCAUUAGCUAGGUGGUGAGGUAACGGCUCACCAAGGCGACGAUGCAUAGCCGACCGGAGAGGGUGAUCGGCCACACUGGAACUGAGACACGGCCCAGACUCCUACGGGAGGCAGCAGUAGGGAAUCUUCGACAAUGGGCGAAAGUCUGACCGAGCCACGCCGCGUGUGUGAAGAAGGUUUUCGGAUCGUAAAGCUCUGUUGUUAGAGAAGCGGUAUCUAACCAGAAAGCCACGGCUAACUACGUGCCAGCAGCCGCGGUAAUAC
This 403-nucleotide ribosomal RNA is filed under the name uncultured bacterium. Its description in RNAcentral is "partial 16S ribosomal RNA". It matches the Rfam family "Bacterial small subunit ribosomal RNA", at positions 28 to 526 of the family's 1533-position model. The record is from RNAcentral.